Molecule: ribosomal RNA, 253 nt
Filed under: uncultured bacterium
Lineage: Bacteria
Description: partial 16S ribosomal RNA
Rfam family: Bacterial small subunit ribosomal RNA
Source: RNAcentral
UACGUAGGUGGCAAGCGUUGUCCGGAUUUACUGGGCGUAAAGAGCGCGCAGGCGGUCGUUCAAGUCGCGUGUGAAAGCCCCCGGCUCAACUGGGGAGGGUCACGCGAUACUGAUCGACUCGAAGGCAGGAGAGGGAAGUGGAAUUCCCGGUGUAGUGGUGAAAUGCGUAGAUAUCGGGAGGAACACCAGUGGCGAAGGCGGCUACCUGGACCAGCACUGACACUGAGGCACGAAAGCGUGGGGAGCAAACAGG